Molecule: ribosomal RNA, 229 nt
Filed under: uncultured bacterium
Lineage: Bacteria
Description: partial 16S ribosomal RNA
Rfam family: Bacterial small subunit ribosomal RNA
Source: RNAcentral
CGGGGUGAGUAAUGCUUGGGAAUCUGGCUUAUGGAGGGGGAUAACUACGGGAAGCUGUAGCUAAUACCGCGUAGUAUCGGAAGAUGAAAGUGCGGGACCGUAAGGCCGCAUGCCAUAGGAUGAGCCCAAGUGGGAUUAGGUAGUUGGUGGGGUAAAGGCCUACCAAGCCUGCGAUCUCUAGCUGGUCUGAGAGGAUGGCCAGCCACACUGGAACUGAGACACGGUCCAG